RNAcentral lists this transfer RNA (64 nucleotides) under Cicadellidae sp. EMHAU-2015-Zz052706. RNAcentral describes it as "tRNA-Tyr". Lineage: Eukaryota; Metazoa; Arthropoda; Insecta; Hemiptera; Cicadellidae. The record is from RNAcentral.
AUUAAGAUGGCUGAGUUAGGUAAUAAACUGUAAAUUUAUUUAUGAAUUAAAAAUUCUCUUAAUA